RNAcentral lists this long non-coding RNA (587 nucleotides) under Helianthus annuus (common sunflower). RNAcentral's name for it is "hypothetical non coding rna". The record is from RNAcentral. Lineage: Eukaryota; Viridiplantae; Streptophyta; Magnoliopsida; Asterales; Asteraceae.
UUCUUAUACGCAAUCAUUGUGAGUACACUCGACCCAUUUACAUUUUAAACCACUUUUGGGUUGUAACAUGUUACCAUACGAAAAUUACACUUACACACACUUAAACAUACUUUGUGAACUCAAUCCGAUAUACAUGCUACUUGUUAUGCUAGAUAAUUCAUGCUUUAUGCCAUUACUAUAUUAUACCCUCGCUUAACAAUUAUAGCACUAUAGGAGUAGCACACCACCCGACGGGGGAUUGUUAGGUCUUUAUACUAUACGGUCUCGUCACUUUUGUGGCGAGGGAUGCUAAAUACUAGUGGACACUUUGGGUUUAGACGUAAUGAUAUGUAUGCUAAUUACCUUGCUUACAAAUUGUCAUGUGGAUUCGAGUAAAAUGCUUUUAUACUUAUGAUAUACUAUUUAAACCUUGUGUUGAUGAGGAUGAUGCUAAGAAAAGAAGUAGCGUUGAUGCCUAGAUACACAUAUAGACGUUAGGUUUAAAUGUUGUAUCAAUUUUGAUUAUGAUGUUAUGUAUUUCUUUUGAACUUGUUGUUAUUUGAAUUUCCUUGUAUUGUUGACAAUUUAGUUUAUGAAAUGAAAUCGGU